Armigeres subalbatus is the source of this 586-nucleotide long non-coding RNA. RefSeq lists it as uncharacterized. The transcript is spliced from 2 exons. Lineage: Eukaryota; Metazoa; Arthropoda; Insecta; Diptera; Culicidae. The record is from RefSeq and is a predicted model, not a curated record.
GAAGGCAAACAAACAAAAUCCGCAGUUAUUUUUGCUUAGCAUCGUUGCGGCAUACUUCAAGCCAAACAAAAAUUACAGCUAUUAUUCGCAAUGACGAAUAACAUUUGCUCGUGUCUCUUCAAAUCGAAAUGGAAUUCAAUUGUCUGAUUCGUUUUCGGAAGCAUUUUUCCGCAUCUGUUUAUCAUCGAAAUUUUUGAGCAGAGUUCAAUUUGAUGAAAAACUUUGGACGCUGGCUAGUUUCAUCGCUCUCCUGGAGGAAGUCAACCUAUAUGAAUCUCCAUGAAUGCAAGUGUAUAAUUGAAAAGUUAGCGAUUCAAUCCAUAUUAAUGCUAUCGCUGUGUUUCAAAAUUUUACACGAGACAUGUUGUCUAAGGAUGGAGCCAGAGUACGCGAUGGCGCGAUGCGACGCUACAGUAGUGCAAUUUGGCAGUUCAUUGUUAAUAAUUGUUAAUCUUUUACGUGAGUCGCGUUGCGUCGCAUCGCACGUCGCGUACUCUGGAGGGCCGUUGCAUAUACUCUGGUUUCACUCUAAUGUACAUAUUUAUAUUGCAAAUAUUGGUCAAUAAAAUGAUUGCUUAAAAAACCA